GGGGCUUUAGCUCAGACUGGGAGAGCACACCGCUGAAGACGGUGAUGUCCUGGGUUCAAAUCCCAGAAGCCCCA
RNAcentral lists this transfer RNA (74 nucleotides) under Candidatus Woesearchaeota archaeon. Its description in RNAcentral is "tRNA-Phe". It matches the Rfam family "tRNA". Rfam says of the family: Transfer RNA (tRNA) molecules are approximately 80 nucleotides in length. Their secondary structure includes four short double-helical elements and three loops (D, anti-codon, and T loops). Further hydrogen bonds mediate the characteristic L-shaped molecular structure. tRNAs have two regions of fundamental functional importance: the anti-codon, which is responsible for specific mRNA codon recognition, and the 3' end, to which the tRNAs corresponding amino acid is attached (by aminoacyl-tRNA synthetases). tRNAs cope with the degeneracy of the genetic code in two manners: having more than one tRNA (with a specific anti-codon) for a particular amino acid; and 'wobble' base-pairing, i.e. permitting non-standard base-pairing at the 3rd anti-codon position. Lineage: Archaea; Nanobdellati; Candidatus Woesearchaeota. The record is from RNAcentral.